UCAGAGUUUUUUUUAUACAACACCCAAGGUCAGGCCUUACUCUGGGAGCUUCUGACCCAUAGUCUAGGACCUGCCAGGGGCCUCUGCCUUUUAGACGGACUUCAGAGGAGCUGGGCCCCUGGCUAAAAAAGCAGCAUGUGCUCAGAAAUGCCAGACUCGGGCUUCCCUGGUGGCGCAGUGGUAAAGAAUCCGCCUGCCAGUGCAGGGGACACGGGUUCGAGCCCUGGUCCAGGAAGAUCCCACAUGCCGCGGAGCAACUAAGCCUGUGCGCCACAAUUACUGAGCCUGCGCUCUAGAGCCUGUGAGCCACAACUACUGAAGCCCAUGUGCCACAACUACUGAAGCCCGUGCGCCUACAGCCCGUGCUCCGCAACAAGAGAAGCCACCACAAUGAGAAGCCCGUGCACCGCAAGAAGAGUAUCCCCUGCUCACUGCAACUAGAGAAAGCCUGCGCGCAGCAAUGAAGACCCAAUGCAGCCAAAAAUAAAUAAAUUAAAUAAAUAAAUUUAA
Molecule: long non-coding RNA, 510 nt
Organism: Lagenorhynchus albirostris (white-beaked dolphin)
Lineage: Eukaryota; Metazoa; Chordata; Mammalia; Artiodactyla; Delphinidae
Exons: 2
Source: RefSeq, a predicted model, not a curated record